UAAAAAAUUAUUUAAAAAUAAUAAUACUGAAUUGUCAAAUCAGAGUUGUAUAAACUACAUUUUUU
Molecule: transfer RNA, 65 nt
Filed under: Allocarsidara bakeri
Lineage: Eukaryota; Metazoa; Arthropoda; Insecta; Hemiptera; Carsidaridae
Description: tRNA-Asp
Source: RNAcentral